This 2728-nucleotide long non-coding RNA is filed under the name Capsella rubella. RNAcentral's name for it is "long non-coding RNA (CRUB_LNC003035)". The record is from RNAcentral. Lineage: Eukaryota; Viridiplantae; Streptophyta; Magnoliopsida; Brassicales; Brassicaceae.
GUAAAGACUGGUCUUACUAAAGGAACAGGUGAGAGUAAUGACAACCUACCAGUUGGAUCCCACAACCUUGUCCCAAUAAUCUCAAAGGAGGAACCCGAGAAACAAGGCCAUCAUCAGUUUACCACAAAUGAGGAAUUGAAUCAGCCACAGGAGGCUGUUGAAGAUAAUAAACCAGGAAAUGAAAACCAGAAAGCAGCUUUAACUGACGAGACCCCAAAGGAAGGUGGCUUAGAGUUUAGCGAGAAGUCUGCAGAAACGACAGGGACAAACACGAAGCUAGGUGGCUUAGAGUUUAUCGAGAAGUAUGCAGAAAAGACUGGGGCAAACAGGAUGCAAGGUGGCUUAGUGUUUAGCAAGAAGUCUACAGAAAAGACUGGGGCAAACACGAUGCUAGGUGGCUUAGAGUUUUGCGAGAAGUCUGCGGAAAAGACGGGGACAAAGCGAGACUAUGAUUUAUUCUCAGCGCAAGAAAAGCCACUGAAACAUUGUGAGAGGUUGCAAGAUGUUAAAAGCAGUGGGAGAUGCGGAAGGAAGAAAGGAAAGGGAAAGUCUAACGUUAAGAAACCUAAAGAGUCUACUUUACAUUUCUUUUUCGAUGAGAAAUAGUUAGUUUGUGUCUGCGUAACGUCUAUGAGGACUAUGUUGGGCUACUUUAGUUGUAGAUAACCUUAGAUAUGUACCGGUUGUUUUGGAAAUGUUGCUUGUAUAUAUGUUGUAUUCGAUCUUUGAUCUAAGCUAAAUGGACACAAAAUUCUCAAACUCAUUGUGACAGUGUGAGAAAAAGAUCUGAGAUUUCAUGCUUUUUUCAUGUUAGUCGUUCGAAAUUUGAAGUCUUAUACUUUUCUGUCUUUUUUUCACUGAAUAAAUUAUAUUGAUAACCAAACUACCAAAGUGUUCGGUAAUAUUACAAAUCACAAGAAAAAAGAGAGAGUGAAAUUACAGGUAAAAGUCAAAUUUCAACAUGAACCAUUUUAAAAGUGUAUUUAUAUAUCUCAACUUUUAUAACGUAUAAAUUUCAACCUGAAUUAAAUAUUGUUUCGAAUAAAACUACACGAACUAUCAUCUAGGUAAUAAUUUUCAAGAAAUUUUGAACUAGUUGUUUAAGUUAAGUUAUAAUUAAAGAAAAAAAAUUCCAGUUUUGACACAUGGCAUAUGACUCAGCAAAAUUUGUACAUGUGGCAUAUGAUUCAGCAAAAUCUGACUCAUCGUAGUUGACCAACAUAAUCCCGGUCAAUAUUGAUUUUUGCAUAAAUUUGAAAAAAUAUUUAGUUUAAGUUGAAAUUCACACGUUAGCAAAGUUGAGGUAUAAAUAUACACUUUUCAAAUUGUCCAUGUUGAAAUUUGCCUUUUACCCGUGAAAUUACAAAGACAAUGAUUUUUCCAAACCUACAACUAGAAGAGGAGACGGUUUUCAAAUACAUUGCUUAUACCAAAAACAUCUUGUCUCGAGACAGAAAUAGCUCUCGAAAUACCAUAAAGACUUCCUGCAAUGGCAGAGGUAGAUAAGAAGCAUAGGGGUCAUUUGACCCUGUUGAAUUUUUCAAAUUAGAUGAAUUUUUAGGAAAAAUAUCAAAUUGACCCUUGUAAAAUAACACAAUUGACCCUUAUAAAAAAAUUUAAUAACACAAUUAACCUUUAUAUAAAAAAAUUGAUACUCAUGAACUGAUUUCCUAGCUCCGCCACUCUUUCCGGAUAUCAAAGGAUGAUAACGGGCUUCAACGCAUGCAAUACAUUUUUCUCUGCGAAUGCUUUCUCUACGAGUUCUUUGUCAUUCUUAACUGUUUUUUUUUCUCAAAAGAGAUACCAUUUUGUAUUACCAAGAAUUGAAACCAAUUAAAAACAGCCUUAGUAUACACAGAAGGAAAGGAAAAUACAAGUACCCAAAAACAUGAGGAGAGAAAAAAUAAGUAGCUACUGCUGUUUGAACCAUACCAUAGAUGUAGAAGGAACUCAGUCCAAACCAGCCAACCGCCUUCUUAACUUAAUAUCGCUCCGUCAUUCUUAACUCGAUCCGCCAGUCUAUGAAAAAUGGGAUUUUGCUUUAACCAGGUACUGUUAACCAGAUUCCCUUUGUUAGUGUACAACUAAAGGUCGAUAAUUGCAUUUCAAGUCAUGUUAUUGUCAGGAUCAUAUCUUGGAACUCUCUCCAUUCUGUAUUGUUUCAAUCUGUACGCUUAUCGUCAUUUAUAAAUACGGAUUAUGCCACUUGCAGAUAACGCUUAAGGCUUCACAAAAUAGCUUGAUCUCGAAGUUUUUCUCAACAAAGCAUCCCAAAACAGACAAAGAAACCGCAUCAACAGAUAUCACAGGUGGUUUGAAAGAGGAACCUACGGUUGAAGGUCAUGAUGGGGCUGUAUUUCCUGACAGCAUUAAGAAAAUUGAAGAAUUAGGCGAGGAGAAAGAUGUAUCGAAUGAAACCAGAAAUCUGGAUUUUCCAAAGACUGUGAAAGCAGAACCAUUUGUUGCAUUUCAUCCCGGACGUGUAAAGGAUGAAGUUGAGGAGGAUAGAAAUGGAGAAAAGAAAUCCAUAAAGACUGGUCUUACUAAAGAAACAAGUGCAAGCAAUGACAACCUACCAGUUGGAUCCCACAACCUUGAUCUCCCUAUAAUCCCGAAAGAGGAACCCGAGACGCAAGGCCAUCAUCAGUUUACCACAAAUGAGGAAUUGAAUCAGCCACACGAGGCUGUUGAAGAUAAUAAACCAGGAAAUGAAAACCAGAAAGCAGCN